GGGGACGUCGUCUAGCUAGGCAGGACAGCAGGCUCCAGACCUGUUGGUCGUGGGUUCAAGUCCCACCGUCCCCA
This 74-nucleotide transfer RNA is filed under the name Nitrososphaerota archaeon. RNAcentral describes it as "tRNA-Trp". It matches the Rfam family "tRNA". Rfam says of the family: Transfer RNA (tRNA) molecules are approximately 80 nucleotides in length. The record is from RNAcentral. Lineage: Archaea; Thermoproteati; Nitrososphaerota.